Cyprinodon variegatus (sheepshead minnow) is the source of this 2536-nucleotide long non-coding RNA. RefSeq lists it as uncharacterized. The record is from RefSeq and is a predicted model, not a curated record. Lineage: Eukaryota; Metazoa; Chordata; Actinopteri; Cyprinodontiformes; Cyprinodontidae. The transcript has 3 exons.
AGGUUUGCAUCUGAAUCACAGAGCUGGUGGGGGCCCGAGCACUUGGCCACGUGGACCAGAUUGAUGCCAUUGUCUCGGCACACUGACCUUUGCUCUAAAGGUCCAGUGAGUGACCUAUUCGAGCCACGCAGCAGAGUGACCCCCCAUGCCCCCUCACACCACUACCACGACCCGUCUCUUUGCCCCACUCCCCUCCAGAAUGCUGAGGCAUCACUGCUCCUGAGCACACAGUCCGGCAGCACCCCCUGACCCCGCGCUGUCCCCCAUUAUAGAGCAGUCAGAAAGCUUUUAGGGGCUCCGGUAACGCUGAAAGAUUGAUGGCGUAAAAUGGGAUGGAGGAGGGGAGAAGAGCAGGUGGUUAAGAAGAGAAUGUCCUCCUUAAUGGGUUGCCAGGAAUGUAAUUCAAUAAUUAUGAAAAGUGACUCAAGAGAGCAGGCUGGAUGGAUGGAUGGCUUCUGAUGGAGGCUGGGAGCUCCUUUGGUCUUCAUGCCUUGGCAUCCUCAAAGCGACAGAAACAGGUGGACAGCUGAUGUGAAACACAAAAUUAUAUUCGAGUUAUCAAAGGACAGGAUAAAAAAAGAAAGAAAGAAAAAAAAAACUCUCCAGGGGUGCAAUGAUAAUUCUGUUAUUCUUUCAGGUUAAUUUCUGAUCCCUUUCAUUGCUCAAUCAUCUGUUCUUCCACUGUCAGGUGAGUCAUGCUCUUUUGAAGAUAAAGAUCCAUAGAUGCGGAACAUCUCAGAUAACAUUUUUUUGGUUGGAGGUACUUGAGAGAAAACCACUCUGGAUAUAAUAAGAUGUAAGAUCAGCUGAUGUUUGCCGGUGAUGUUUUCACUUCACUUCUUUUAGAGCCUCCUGCCUGCCACUUAGUAAAGCACUUUGUAAUUGCUGAUUUUAAGUGCAUUUUACAUUAGAUACUAAAGACAUAUGCAAGGCCUUUUCUACCAUCUGAGCCCAUUAGCCAGUGAAGAUGCUAAAUCUUCUAAUGCAUUAGAGAACGUAAGUCGGAGAAAGGGAGCUGGGCUUGGUUUGUGUAGAACACAUUUUAGACCAGGCAGGCCUUCACCUGCCUGUUGUUACUCCUUAGUAGGUCAUAUUUUGAAUGUUUUGUAUAACUCUUAAACUGCCAAUAAAUCUCAAAAAAGCUUUACAAUCUAAUACAAUCCAUUAUGGAUAAUAAUUUUCUCAAUACUUUGAAUUUUAAGCUACCGGAUAUUAUUUUCAAAACUUUUGCAUACAUUUAGCCUUGUGUCAAAGGCUGGCUCUUUAUAGCUCCCCAAAUACAUGCUGUGUUUGAGGACCAGUGGGAAGAAUGCAUAGAGCUGUGGUUUAUCUUUAAACAUAUUUAGGCUAGAGAGGCAUUCAAAGAUCAAAGUUCUUCAAGAAUUUGUGUCAAGAGCUGAUGCUUCAAGGUGUCCUCCAUCCAUUGCGUGAACUUGACAUUUUUUAAUUACAGAAAAGAAUCAGCUUGUAGAGAUGUACUCCAAAAAUGUUGGGUUAGGAAGGGAGGAUUUUACUUUGAUUUUUAUUUAUUUCCUUUCUCUUUUUGGGAAAAUUUGAAACUAGAACUAAACUCUACCUUGUACUUUUCCAUGACACACAGCUUGAUUUUGGUGUAUCAUGCAUCCCCGCAUUCAGACAGAAUCAGUCUCAGCUGUUCCGAUUUUCUUUGCUUUUUUCAUGGUAAAACUUUUAGUGGUAAACUUUUAGGAAAUAUUUUAGUGAAAAUAAUCAUUAGAAGACAUAAAGAAAAUCAGAAUGACAGCAAAGGGAGUGUAAAAAGAAAAUUAAUCAAAUUAAUUUACCUGAAUCAAAAUCCCAGUACAUAGCGAUGUGGUUGUAUUGUAGUUGACUAUACAAAGCUCUUCUGAUAUGAAGGCAGUUUUGGGCUAUGUAAAGUUAGGGGUGGUAAGUCUGUUCUUUUUUUUUUUACUUUUAGGUCAAACAAUUGUGUACAGUUGUAUUUUAUUUGGAUUCCCUCCCAAAUUUAUGCAACUUCAAUUACUCUGAAUCCAUAAUAAGAAGGGACCUCAACAAGGCAAACAUCAAACACCAGAGGCUAAAUAAUCAAUUUUUUAAACUGUAUUUUAAAAAUCAAACAAUAUAAUCAUUUAUUUAUAUAAAACAAGUGUGAGCUAAAAAAAAAUCACGAUUUAUGUAAAAACAAGUGUCAGCUAAAAAUCCCUUAAAUAAUGAGUUUCUUACAUUCUAGUUCUCCAUCAUUUGACACAGUACAUAAGAGAUGACUUUUUGACUUUAACAAUUUAUUUACAAAAUCAAACAAUAUAAUCAAUAAUUCAUGUAAAACAAGUGUGAGUUAAAAAUCUCCAUGUAAAAACAGGUGUCAGCUAAAAAUUACUGAAGGACCUAGUUAUACUAUAGUUCUCUAUUAUCUGAAACAGUACAUAAAAUGUGGUUAAAACCCCAUACUGUAACUCCUGAAAACCCUCCAUGUUCUGUGUGGCUCUGUGGAAGGGAAACUCCAGCCUAAUCAAACCAGAAAUUACUCCUUAGAAAAAGUUUAAGUUAAAGUUUUUAU